UACCAGCUGGCUGCAACUGUUUAUUAAAAACACAGCACUGUGCAAACACGAAAGUGGACGUAUACGGUGUGACGCCUGCCCGGUGCCGGAAGGUUAAUUGAUGGGGUCAGCGCAAGCGAAGCUCCUGAUCGAAGCCCCGGUAAACGGCGGCCGUAACUAUAACGGUCCUAAGGUAGCGAAAUUCCUUGUCGGGUAAGUUCCGACCUGCACGAAUGGCGUAAUGAUGGCCAGGCUGUCUCCACCCGAGACUCAGUGAAAUUGAACUCGCUGUGAAGAUGCAGUGUACCCGCGGCAAGACGGAAAGACCCCGUGAACCUUUACUAUAGCUUGACACUGAACAUUGAGCCUUGAUGUGUAGGAUAGGUGGGAGGCUUUGAAGUGUGGACGCCAGUCUGCAUGGAGCCGACCUUGAAAUACCACCCUUUAAUGUUUGAUGUUCUAACGUGGACCCGUGAUCCGGGUUGCGGACAGUGUCUGGUGGGUAGUUUGACUGGGGCGGUCUCCUCCUAAAGAGUAACGGAGGAGCACGAAGGUUGGCUAAUCCUGGUCGGACAUCAGGAGGUUAGUGCAAUGGCAUAAGCCAGCUUGACUGCGAGCGUGACGGCGCGAGCAGGUGCGAAAGCAGGUCAUAGUGAUCCGGUGGUUCUGAAUGGAAGGGCCAUCGCUCAACGGAUAAAAGGUACUCCGGGGAUAACAGGCUGAUACCGCCCAAGAGUUCAUAUCGACGGCGGUGUUUGGCACCUCGAUGUCGGCUCAUCACAUCCUGGGGCUGAAGUAGGUCCCAAGGGUAUGGCUGUUCGCCAUUUAAAGUGGUACGCGAGCUGGGUUUAGAACGUCGUGAGACAGUUCGGUCCCUAUCUGCCGUGGGCGCUGGAGAACUGAGGGGGGCUGCUCCUAGUACGAGAGGACCGGAGUGGACGCAUCACUGGUGUUCGGGUUGUCAUGCCAAUGGCACUGCCCGGUAGCUAAAUGCGGAAGAGAUAAGUGCUGAAAGCAUCUAAGCACGAAACUUGCCCCGAGAUGAGUUCUCCCUGAGACUUUAGGUCUCCUGAAGGAACGUUGAAGACGACGACGUUGAUAGGCCGGGUGUGUAAGCGCAGCGAUGCGUUGAGCUAACCGGUACUAAUGAACCGUGAGGCUUAACCUU
This 1147-nucleotide ribosomal RNA is filed under the name Salmonella enterica. RNAcentral describes it as "partial 23S ribosomal RNA". It matches the Rfam family "Bacterial large subunit ribosomal RNA", at positions 1783 to 2925 of the family's 2925-position model. RNAcentral also lists the same sequence under 9 other names. Lineage: Bacteria; Pseudomonadati; Pseudomonadota; Gammaproteobacteria; Enterobacterales; Enterobacteriaceae. The record is from RNAcentral.